Molecule: small RNA, 123 nt
Filed under: Marmota monax (woodchuck)
Lineage: Eukaryota; Metazoa; Chordata; Mammalia; Rodentia; Sciuridae
Source: RNAcentral
GUUGGGCGCAGUGGGGCCGCCUGUCAUCCCAGUGACUCAGGAGGCUGAGGCAGGAGGAUCACACUUAGAGGCCAGCCUCAGCCAAAGUGAGGCUCUAAGCCACUCAGGGAGACCCUGUCUCUA